Asparagus officinalis (garden asparagus) is the source of this 440-nucleotide long non-coding RNA. RefSeq lists it as uncharacterized. NCBI's taxonomy places the organism in Eukaryota, Viridiplantae, Streptophyta, Magnoliopsida, Asparagales, Asparagaceae. The transcript has 3 exons. The record is from RefSeq and is a predicted model, not a curated record.
AAAAAAGGCUUCUCUUCCUCCCAUCUUUAUCUUGCCGAAAAAAAAAGAAGGGUCUUUUGUCUUUCGAGUUGGGAUCAAGAACAUUUUCUAGGUGUUUCGAGUGGCUUCGAGGAGGUGUUGUGAGGGGUAGUUGGAUUAUUUUCGGACUUGAGAGACUCGGGAUUAGGUGGAAUUGAGGAUUGUCAAAUUCUUAGAACGAAGCAAAGAAUAAUUCGAGAUUGUUAUUGUCUUCUAGGCGAAGGUUAAAUAAAGUCUUUAAUGUUUAGAUGAUGAAUUGAGAGUUUGUAAUAAUGAGAUUCUUUCUUUAGGUUGAGAUUUAUUUGGAGUUGAGGAAUAUUUAUUUUUAUCAAGUUAAUUGGCUUAGUUGACUUUUGGGAUUAUAGAGAAUAUUUGUUGUUGGUUUUAGUUCAAUGAAGAGAUUUGUUUUAGUGUUCUUUUAA